Molecule: ribosomal RNA, 164 nt
Filed under: Bellis pusilla
Lineage: Eukaryota; Viridiplantae; Streptophyta; Magnoliopsida; Asterales; Asteraceae
Description: 5.8S ribosomal RNA
Rfam family: 5.8S ribosomal RNA
About the family: 5.8S ribosomal RNA (5.8S rRNA) is a component of the large subunit of the eukaryotic ribosome. It is transcribed by RNA polymerase I as part of the 45S precursor that also contains 18S and 28S rRNA.
Source: RNAcentral
UAAACGACUCUCGGCAACGGAUAUCUCGGCUCACGCAUCGAUGAAGAACGCAGCAAAAUGCGAUACUUGGUGUGAAUUGCAGAAUCCCGUGAACCAUCGAGUUUUUGAACGCAAGUUGCGCCCGAAGCCAUUCGGUUGAGGGCACGUCUGCCUGGGCGUCACGC